Molecule: ribosomal RNA, 202 nt
Filed under: uncultured prokaryote
Description: partial 16S ribosomal RNA
Rfam family: Bacterial small subunit ribosomal RNA
Source: RNAcentral
UACGUAGGGCGCAAGCGUUGUCCGGAAUUAUUGGGCGUAAAGAGCUCGUAGGCGGUCUGUUACGUCCGCUGUGAAAACCCGGGGCUUAACCCUGGGCUGGCAGUGGAUACGGGCAGACUAGAGGUAGGUAGGGGAGAAUGGAAUUCCCGGUGUAGCGGUGAAAUGCGCAGAUAUCGGGAGGAACACCUGUGGCGAAAGCGGC